RNAcentral lists this ribosomal RNA (387 nucleotides) under uncultured bacterium. RNAcentral describes it as "bacterial SSU rRNA". It matches the Rfam family "Bacterial small subunit ribosomal RNA", at positions 28 to 417 of the family's 1533-position model. The record is from RNAcentral.
GACGAACGCUGGCGGCGUGCUUAACACAUGCAAGUCGAGCGGUAAGGCCCUUCGGGGUACACGAGCGGCGAACGGGUGAGUAACACGUGGGUGACCUGCCUCUAGCUCUGGGAUAAGCCUGGGAAACUAGGGUCUAAUACCGGAUAUGACUCCACGGCGCAUGUUGUGGGGUGGAAAGCCUUGUGCGGCUAGAGAUGGGCCCGCGGCCUAUCAGCUUGUUGGUGGGGUGANGGCCUACCAAGGCGACGACGGGUAGCCGGCCUGAGAGGGCGACCGGCCACACUGGGACUGAGACACGGCCCAGACUCCUACGGGAGGCAGCAGUGGGGAAUCUUGCGCAAUGGGCGAAAGCCUGACGCAGCGACGCCGCGUGAGGGAUGACGGCCU